RNAcentral lists this ribosomal RNA (459 nucleotides) under uncultured bacterium. RNAcentral describes it as "partial 16S ribosomal RNA". It matches the Rfam family "Bacterial small subunit ribosomal RNA", at positions 338 to 795 of the family's 1533-position model. The record is from RNAcentral.
CCUACGGGAGGCAGCAGUGAGGAAUAUUGGUCAAUGGCCGAGAGGCUGAACCAGCCAAGUCGCGUGAGGGAAGACGGCCCUACGGGUUGUAAACCUCUUUUGUCGGGGAGCAAAGCGAGUCACGUGUGACUCAUUGAGAGUCCCCGAAGAAAAAGCAUCGGCAAACUCCGUGCCAGCAGCCGCGGUAAUACGGAGGAAGCGAGCGUUAUCCGGAGUUAUUGGGUGUAAAGGGUGCUCAGGCGGAGGUGCAAGUCAGCGGUCAAAUUGCGGGGCUCAACCCCGUACUGCCGUUGAAACUGCAUGCCUUGAGUGCGCGAGAGGUAUGCGGAAUGCGUGGUGUAGCGGUGAAAUGCAUAGAUAUCACGCAGAACUCCGAUGGCGAAGGCAGCAUACCGGCGCGCAACUGACGCUCAUGCACGAAAGCGUGGGUAUCGAACAGGAUUAGAUACCCCAGUAGUC